AAGUCGUAACAAGGUUUCCGUAGGUGAACCUGCGGAAGGAUCAUUAGUGUAUUUUACUAUACCCUUACCACCAAACAUGUGUGAACUAUUUGUUUUUUAUGUCUUUGCCGGGUGAGGCGCGGGAAAAGCGCGUAGCGCGUAUGAGCGCGCGCCGCCCCCUCUCCCCUCCUCUCCGGCGACCCCAUUAUUCAAACAUUGUUUUAUAUACAAAUGCCAUGUAGACUCGUAAAACAUACAAAACGAUUGUUUUUUUUUUAUUAUAAAUUAUAAAAACAACUUUUGGCAACGGAUCUCUUGGCUCCCA
This 304-nucleotide unclassified non-coding RNA is filed under the name fungal sp. RNAcentral's name for it is "partial internal transcribed spacer region". The stretch from base 1 to 46 matches the Rfam family "Eukaryotic small subunit ribosomal RNA", at positions 1786 to 1831 of the family's 1831-position model. The record is from RNAcentral. Lineage: Eukaryota; Fungi.